GGACUACAGGGGUAUCUAAUCCCGUUCGCUCCCCUGGCUUUCGCGCCUCAGCGUCAGCAGAGGUCCAGCACGCCGCUUUCGCCACCGGCGUUCCUUCCGAUAUCAACGCAUUUCACCGCUCCACCGGAAGUUCCGCAUGCCCCUACCUCCCUCGAGGCGGCCGGUAUCCAAGGCCCUUUUCCGGUUGGGCCGGAAGCUUUCACCCCGGACUCGGCCGCCCGCCUACGCGCCCUUUAAGCCCAGUGAUUCCGAACAACGUUCGCACGGUUCGUCUUACCGCGGCUGCUGGCAC
This 292-nucleotide ribosomal RNA is filed under the name uncultured bacterium. RNAcentral's name for it is "partial 16S ribosomal RNA". The record is from RNAcentral. RNAcentral also lists the same sequence under 2 other names.